GAAGCGGCAACAGCUCAAAUUUGAAACCUGGCGUAAGCCCGGAUUGUAAUUUGUAGAGGAUGCUUCUGGGCAGCGGCCGUUCUAAGUUCCUUGGAACAGGACGUCAUAGAGGGUGAGAAUCCCGUAUGUGACCGGCGCGCACCCUCCACGUAGCUCCUUCGACGAGUCGAGUUGUUUGGGAAUGCAGCUCUAAAUGGGAGGUAAAUUUCUUCUAAAGCUAAAUACUGGCCAGAGACCGAUAGCGCACAAGUAGAGUGAUCGAAAGAUGAAAAGCACUUUGGAAAGAGAGUUAAAAAGCACGUGAAAUUGUUGAAAGGGAAGCGCUCACAACCAGACUCCGUGGCGGUGUUCCGCCGGUCUUCUGACCGGUCCACUCGCCGCCGUGGGGCCAACAUCGUCUGGGGCCGCCGGAUAAGACCGGAGGAAUGUAGCUCAUUGAGUGUUAUAGCCUCCGGGGAUGCGGCGCGCCCCGGGCGAGGUCCGCGCUUCGGCAAGGAUGUUGGCGUAAUGGUUGUCAGCGGCCCGUCUUGAAACACGGACCAAGGAGUCUAACAUCUAUGCGAGUGUUCGGGUGUCAAACCCCUACGCGUAAUGAAAGUGAACGGAGGUGGGAACUACGGUGCACCAUCGACCGAUCCUGAUGUCCUCGGAUGGAUUUGAGUAAGAGCAUAGCUGUUGGGACCCGAAAGAUGGUGAACUAUGCCUGAAUAGGGUGAAGCCAGAGGAAACUCUGGUGGA
Molecule: ribosomal RNA, 738 nt
Filed under: Zasmidium proteacearum
Lineage: Eukaryota; Fungi; Ascomycota; Dothideomycetes; Mycosphaerellales; Mycosphaerellaceae
Description: eukaryotic LSU rRNA
Rfam family: Eukaryotic large subunit ribosomal RNA
Source: RNAcentral